Long non-coding RNA from Manis javanica (Malayan pangolin), 3631 nucleotides. RefSeq lists it as uncharacterized. The record is from RefSeq and is a predicted model, not a curated record. NCBI's taxonomy places the organism in Eukaryota, Metazoa, Chordata, Mammalia, Pholidota, Manidae.
UUUAAAAAUGACACCAGACUAUAAAAAAGCUGCAAAAAUGAAAUUCUUACAUACCUUUCUUUCUACUUCCACAAAUAUAAACAUCUUAUAUAAUCAUAAUACAAUUUCACAACUGGGAUAUUAAAUGUGGUAUGAUACUGUCAACUGAUUCAAAGACUUAAUUCAAAUGUUGCCAGUUGAUCCACAAAUGUCUUUUUCCUGGUCUAGGAUGCAGUGCAGGAUCACACCAUUUGUUUUCAUGUCUACACCAUCUCCUUUAAUGGUGACAGUUUCUCAGUUUUUUUGUCCUUCAUGAAGCUGACAUUUUUAAUCACAUUGGUUCCUUAUUUUGUAGAGUAUUCUUCAUUUGCAACCCAUUCUUUUCCAAGCUUAAGCAACCAAGCAUGGUGAUUCUCCCAGCAAAUUAGUGGCAAGCAACUGGUAUGCUAACAGAAGACUGCUAACUGUAUGGUACGUUCAUCCCACGAUUUCAGAAGGCUUGUCUUCUGCUGGAAGGGUGAGGACUGACUGAUACAAGUAAACCAGUGCAUUUAUGCAUCAGUUACCAAAUAGAUGCAAUAAAUGUAUGUCCUUAAUAGAUUAUUAAUUUCCUAUGGAGUUCUUGGGCUUUGUGUAGGCCCUGAGACGGCAGUGGCAUGCAAGAACUAAAAUGGCCGCAAGUGCACACUCUGAGCAUCUUUUUGGUUUUAACCCCAUCCUCAUCCCCAGGAUUUUGUAGUGUUUUGGAGAAUGAGGAAGUGCACAAGCCCACAAAACAUUUAGAGUACGUCUAGAAGCCAGUACUCUUUCAAAAAGAAUUAGGUAAAAAGACUGGUUUUGAAUAGAAUGAGAGUUUGAGAUGGGCAGAAAAAGGGAGAGAAAUACGGUGAUUGAUGGAGAAAUCGUUAAAUAUAUAUCCCAUCACCAUUAUUGGAAAGAUAUAGAUUAUAGAUAGAAUAUAUCUAUAUUUACCUAUACACAUCUGUAGAUACCUAUAGCUGUACCUGAGACCGGUCUGUCUAUCACACACUUACAACCCAGCAUUCCCUCCUCUGCCCUUCCGGCGCCUCUCCCAGGCCGGGACACACUGCUUAUGCUCGGGGGAUGAUCACGGCGCCAGUGCACAGACCCUGGGGGCAGGAGUAGCAGCACUCAACCCCGCUCCUCCUAAAACCCUGCCGAGAGUCCUGGCGGCGGCACAGGAAAUCUGGACUCUGCAGGGAGCGCAGGGGAGCAAAGAGGAGGCAGAGCGAGAGGGAGGGUCUCCGGCGUCAGUCGGGCUCCAGUCCGCGGCGGGGCGGAGCGGAGAGCGGAGCCCGGGCCCCCUUCGCUCCCACCCGCGCCCGGGUCCCCGCGACGCCCGCUCCGGCCCACGUGCGGUGCCCCGCUCCGCGCCCGCCCCCUGCGGCCCGACUCGGGAGGAGCUGGGGCCCUGAGCGCCGGUCUCCACACCGGCCAGCGGGAGCCCCGCGUCGCCACCGCGGCCCGGGACAGUCUGCAGUUCCGCGCUCCCGCGGCAGGGAAGUGGACGCCGGCGGCUCCCCAGCCGCGCUGAGCGCGCCCCUCACCCGCCCCGGGCGCCUGCGGCGGCGGCUCCCGCGUCCCCGGGGCCCCGGCCAGUAGCGGCGGGGACGGAGCCUCCGCUGCUCGCGUCCCUUCGCAGAGCGCCGCCAGCCCCGAGCGGACCGGGGAGCAGGGGUAGGGGCCCCGGGGACCUCGGGCAGCGGAGCGCGGGCCUCCGGAGCGAGAGUGAGGAGGUCCCCGGGCUUCCGGAACAGAGGCGCCGAGGCCGGCCGGCAGGACGCCGGCAGGGACCGGGAGCUCCGCCCAGACGGCCCCGUCGGUCGGGCCGCAGCAGCUGUGAAUUCCGUCUCCCCCAAGCGGUGCCUGUUUGACCAAGCCCAACCCUGAAAGAAACUUCCGAGUUAGCAGGAAGAAGUGGGGCACAGGCAUUCCACAUCCUUUGGACCCACCUGAUCUUCAGCUAAAAGCCAUAACUAAGCAGGACUAAUGAUUACAGUAACAUCUUCAUUAAAGAUGUUUUCUGAGCACCUAAUAUGUUCCAGGCACUGACCAAAGGUGUGUGCAUGAAGCUGUACAAAGGGUUACAAACUUUCAUAUGAGUCAGGAGAAGAUUAAUGUCAUCCAACGGCAAAACUGCUAGUAAAGUAAAGUGGCAGAGCAACAACAAUACCAGAGACUAAGAAGGAAAGGGCUACCCGGUGCCCCCUGUCCUCUGCGGUCCACUGGGUUUCCUUUCGCAGAAAUGUCACGCAUUUCCUCAGGAGCCACACAGCUGUGAGCACAGCAGUUUUUCCAGAACCAGAGGCAGCAGGUUUCUGCUUCCCUUAUGGCGGACCCAUGUUCUCACUCAGGAGCAAGCAUUUCUUCAUCCACACAGAAGUGCAUGGCCUCCCUUCCUGUUUCAACAGCUCCCACCCCAGGCUCAGAGCCAGUCAAGACAAGUAGGGAUGCUGCAUGGAGUGAGUCAGAGUGCCUCUCGGAGACCAAGGCUUUGGCCUGGACUGUGACUUCAGCUGUGACUCUUUCCUAACAAACCACGGCAUUGGAGGAAAUAAGAAGAUGCACCCUACAGAGUGUAAUAUCGUCACAAAGGCAAAGGUUGAGAGGAAGUUGCCAUUUUUCCUUCCUAUUUGCCACUCGAAGAUCUGUCUCCCUGAAUCCUUGUUGGAGUUAUUGGUCUCCUGGCUUUAUACUUAUACCCUGGUAUUUGAGUGCAUAUACUGGUGCUCACAGCGUUCGUUUGAAGAUAGUGGUUCUCCAGUUCUCUAGCUGUGUGAUUUGGAGCAUUCAGUUAAUCUCUUGGAGCCUCAAAUUCCUCAUCUGUAUGGUGUGAGUAGUGUGCCUUCCCUUCUUGCUUGGUCAGAUAAACUUUCACCUUUGUAAAUCUGCAACCUGCAUGUCCCAGAGCUGGGCAGGAGUCUUACAUGUUAUCUAAUACAGCUUUUGUCUGCACCUGAUGACUGGACCCUCACCAGCUUCCUGGACAAAUGACCCUCCAGCUUCAGACUGAGGUGUGACUGGCAGGGGAGCUGCCCUCUUCAGGAGCUCUGAUUAGAAAGUUCUUUCUUGGAUGGGCUGAGAUCUGAACCUCCCAGUAACCUUUACCUGCUGGGUUCUGUUUCAUCUCUGGAUCUAACAAUACACUUAAUCUCAAAGGUGUUCUGUAUGUUGAAGAUGACUGCAAAAAUACCGUCGCAAUUUUUUUAACUGGCCGUCAUCUUUUCAGCCCCUGUGGGAUUCUGGUUUGGAUGGACUGCAUGAAACAGGACAUGGUGCCAGGCAUUCCUGAAUGUUCUUAAGGGUCCUUGUGACAUCAGUUAUAAAACCUUCUCUGAUGAUCCCUGGAGGCAGGUGUGAUUGUUACUAAUGGUAGGUGUCCCCACACAUAGUGGCUAUGUGCAAAUCCUAGAGCCAUAAUUGGAAAAGAGUAUUUCUUAACAUGCUUUAAAUUAUUUAACUUGGAGGUAAUUUCCUUCUAUAUCACCUUGAGUCAUUUGUUAUCCUGAAAAAUAAUAGAUAUAUCAAAUUUUAGUAGAAAAAGAAACCUAGAAAAAAGAUCUAAAGAAUAAAAUGAAAGCAUUUGUAACCAAUGUAUUUGUAAAAAAUAAAAUUAUAUUUUUAUACCUUG